GCGAGUGAAGCGGGAUGAGCUCAAAUUUAAAAUCUGGCGGCUUUGCCGUCCGAGUUGUAAUCUGGAGAAGCGUUUUCCGCGUCGGACCGUGUACAAGUCUCUUGGAACAGAGCUUCAUAGAGGGUGAGAAUCCCGUCCAUGACACGGACCGCCGAUGCUUUGUGAUACGCUCUCAAAGAGUCGAGUUGUUUGGGAAUGCAGCUCAAAAUGGGUGGUAAAUUCCAUCUAAAGCUAAAUAUUGGCGAGAGACCGAUAGCGAACAAGUACCGUGAGGGAAAGAUGAAAAGCACUUUGGAAAGAGAGUAAAACAGUACGUGAAAUUGUUGAAAGGGAAACGCUUGAAGUCAGUCGCGUUUGCCGGGACUCAGCCUUGCUUCUGCUCGGUGUAUUUCCCGGUAGACGGGUCAACAUCGAUUUUGGCCGACGGAUAAAGGGGUUGGGAAUGUGGCACUCUUCGGGGUGUGUUAUAGCCCUUCUUCCGCAUACGCCGGCCGGGAUCGAGGACCGCAGCGCGCCUUAAUGGCCGGGGGUUCGCCCCACGUUACGCGCUUAGGAUGUUGGCAUAAUGGCUUUAAGCGAC
Molecule: ribosomal RNA, 580 nt
Filed under: Basidioradulum radula
Lineage: Eukaryota; Fungi; Basidiomycota; Agaricomycetes; Hymenochaetales; Hymenochaetaceae
Description: eukaryotic LSU rRNA
Rfam family: Eukaryotic large subunit ribosomal RNA
Source: RNAcentral